This 3156-nucleotide long non-coding RNA is filed under the name Gallus gallus (chicken). Lineage: Eukaryota; Metazoa; Chordata; Aves; Galliformes; Phasianidae. The record is from RNAcentral.
GUCACUUUUGAAACUAACAUUUUAAACUUCUUGUUUUUUUUAUGAAAAAGGUACAGUUUUAUUUAUCUAAACAACAAAGAAAGAAAAGCAAUCUACACACUCAAAAGAAAUUAAAAUUGGUGCUCUACGUCUAUUUAACUCAUUUUAAAAUACUACGUACAGAAGCCAGAAUGCAGGGUGAGGAUGGAGUGGGAGAAAAAGGGCCACGAAGAAAAACAGUUAGACAAUUACUUGUCUGGUGUGGGCAAAGCAACAGGAAUCCUGGGAGAUACAAGAAUCAGUAACAACUGUUUGCUCAUAACUGCUAUUUUUCCCUCAUUUUGUUUUUAGUAACGUCCGUAUGGGUGCUCUCUGUAGGCGCCCUUCACCGGCCGGGCUGGUGGGGCCUUCAGGGAGGGCCUGGUACCAUUCCAGUCAUCUUGGCCAUAAGCUUCAUAGGUUUCCUGUGCCUCCCCGUGUCCAUAAUCAUAGUAUUCUGUGUCCCCUUGGCCCUGGCUGUAGUAGCCUUCGUAGCCCUCAUAGCUCUGGUCUGCAUAUGCAUCAUCAUAACCGUAUUCCUCGUAGGUUUCUGGCGCGGGAGGAGGAGGAAGAGGUAUCCGCUGGAUGCCGGCCGCACGUGCUCUGGGUGCCGGAGCACCCCGGACUGCUGGGGGGGGAGGCACCCCGCGGGCUACAGCUGCUCCCCUGGCAAUGGCACCCCGCACCGGGGCUCCUCGCACCAGGGCCCCCCGGGGAGGAGGCGGCGGAGGGGGAGGACCAACACCACGCCCCCUUGGAACAGGUGGAGGCGGUGGUGGAGCUGCUCCCCUUCCCCGCACAGGGCCUCCUCGGCCACGAGUUGGCUCUGGUACGCCGUUCAGAUAGGAGAGCUCCAAGAAUUGCUCCUGACAGAUAUCAUCCAUCAUAUCUGGGACAAGGAACUUCUUGACCUCUUCCAUGGCAUGAGCCAUCAGAGCAUAUGCUUCACAAGGGGGUCCAAACACUUCAAUGAAGACAUGCAAAUCCAUAUUUAGAUGAGCAUAUUUAGGAUCUCCCCCUUUACGCAGCUCUUCCUCCUUUGCCUUAUCUCGCAUUGAACCCUUCCCAAGCACAGAGAUCUUAGCACCAGUUUCCUCCUGAAGCCUCUUGAUGGUGUUACCUUGAGGUCCCAAAAUCUUUCCAACAAAGUUGAACUUGGGGUACUGUUUGACAGGUAUCAGAACUCGUUCUUUCAGUUUCAUAUUCUUGUGAGAAAAUAAAUCCAGGUAGUUCUCUUCCUCAUCCUUCUUUGUUGUUUCACCCUUCUGAAUUUUUUCAAUUUCUGCGCUGAGGAGCUGCAUGGCGUGCGUGAAGGACGGGUCCAGGCUGUCCUUCUCGGCCAUCAGCUCGGGCAGGUAUUUGUUCUCGGGCUCCAUCUUGACGGCGCCCCCGGGCAGCAGCGGGGCGGGGUUGGCGGCGGCGGGGCCCUGCGCGCCCGAGGAGCCGGCGGCCGCCCCGCCGGUCAGCAGCGGCUGUGGCUGCUGGGCCCCGGCCCCACGGCCCCCCCCGCCUCGGGGAGACCGCCGCGGAUUGGGACCCCCUUGGCGGGCGCCUCCGGGACCCCCCGGCCCCCGGCCCAUACGGGCGGAGGAGUCGUCGCGGCGCUGCAUGCGGGCGGAGGGGCGGGCGCGGAGCGGAACGGGCCCGAACGGCGCUGCCACACCGACCGCCGCAGCGCUCGGGCCGGAAGUGAGGGGCCGGAAGGACCGCCCCAUCCCUCACAGCGCCCCCCCCCCCUCCCUCAGCGGUUCCCGCGCGACCACCCCACGCGCCUUUGCGCCUGCGCCGGCACUCCGCCUCACUCCCGGCGGCACGCCUCCCCGCCCGCACGCGGAACGCAUGCGCGAAGCGCCGCGGGCAGACCGAGAAAGAACCGUUCUGUUGGGGCGCGCGCGCAGCGCCCGGCGUGGGAUAGGGGGACGGACACGUGCGUGGGCGGGGCUGUCGCGCUGUCCGUCGUGAGUGCGCACGCGCAGCGCCGUGGCGCCACACUCAAGAGGUUGUGCGCGUGCGCUCAGGGCAGGGCUGGGGGGUGCGGUGUGAAGGGCCGCCACGGCCCGACGGGUGGGGUGGGAUGCGGUGCCUGGCGGGAGCCGGGCCUGGUCCGGGGCGGGCCCUGGCCCUCGUCCUGAUGUCUCCGUGCUGCUCUGUGAGGCUCUGCUCUGCUCGGCCUGGCGGCUGUGUGCACUGCCUGCUGCCGCAGCAAGGAGCGAAAGGUGGCUGGGCUGUGUGAGGGCUGCUGGCUUUGGUGCCCAGCAAUAAAAUCAGCGCCUUCAGCAGUUAAUUCGGACCCUUCAGCAAGCUGACCGACUGCCGAGGGCAGGCUGCGUUCCCCUGGCUGAGCAGGCAGCCUGUAAGCUCGGGCUCAGCACUGCUCGAGCCGCGGGGAGCUGCGCUGUGCCCUGCGAGCCGUGCAGAGGGCUGAGAUGUUCCUUUGUUACCACCCCGUGGAGCCCGCAGAACGGCGCAGUGCAGCCCUGGGCUCGGCCAAAGCCUCUGAAACGGUUCCUGGGUGUUAAAGCGGACGUGAUGCCCCUCUAGGCAGUGCUGGGGACAGGCAGAGGAGCGAUGGGCUUUUCUUUGGCUGAAAACAGGGGCUGGGCGUGCUGCCAUCCCUGCUUCCAGCGUUCGCUCCUCUUACAGGAGCAGCGGGUGGCUGCUGUGGCUGCGAUCGCUGCCCCGCUUGCUCCCUGCUACUGAGACAAGGGGAGUUAACCAGCGAGCUGGCUGAUAAAAGGCUUUUGUUGAGCUGCAGAAGAGGCCCGGGGGGCUGCAGAGCUCCACGUUGUGCGCUGUGCCGAUGGACGGGCGGCGAGGGGCCCCGCGGGAGCCUUCUGCCGGCAGGAGCACAGAGGCGCUCCUGUUCCCGUUCCAGGGCGGUCGCACCCGACCCAAACUAACGGGGCACGUGGCUGAGGACUGCAUCCCUGCCCACGCUGGGGACGGGGCUCGCGGCGUGGCUGCUGGCCCUGCCGGCGGCAGCGGAGCGCAGUGAGCGGCGAGGCUCGGGCUGCCGUGCCGGGUCGCCGCGCGAGGCUGAGGCGCUUUUGGCCGUUUCUAUAGCCGUUAACGCCGCGGCGGCUGCCGGGCGGCAUCGCGGAUCUGCGCCGUGGGAACGGCCGCGCGGGCCGAACCACC